Non-coding RNA from Biomphalaria pfeifferi, 664 nucleotides. NCBI's taxonomy places the organism in Eukaryota, Metazoa, Mollusca, Gastropoda, Planorbidae. The record is from the annotation of a GenBank genome assembly.
CAAAAAAAAAAAAAAAAAAAACAAAGAAAAUUAAAACCAAUGUUUGAACAAUGAUACUUCAAAUUUAUGGUUUCAAAAAACAGAUUCCAAUUUUAUAUCCUGCAUUAUGGGAUAUCGUAAAAAAAAGUUUUAGACUUGUUUCCCAUCUUCUUAUUCUGUAAAUUCAAUAAACACUCUUUCAACAAAAUUUUAUCUUUACAUUUGUAAUUUAUAUACUAUGCAUUUAUGUAUUAUUAUUAUCACUUAGGGGAUCCAUGGGCAAAUUUUGACUACAUAAAGGGGUUUUUGGGUCAAAAAAGAUUAAGAACCACUAGACUAAGAGAAUGGAUAUAUAACAACUUUGCAAAAAAUAAAUAAAUAAACAAAUAUAACAAGAAUUGAGUGAUUAUCUUUAUACUAGUGACACAAAAAGAUCUAACAGGUAACUGACUAUGUCACAACAUACAACAUAAGCCAACCAUUUCGACAUCAAUUAUGAUGCAUUUAGUAUUAUCAGUUAAUGUAAAAUAAGCUACUGAGAAUGUAACUAUUGUAAAAAAAAAUUAAUCCAGUGAUUACAUGUUAAUAAAAGCAUCAAAUACUGUGGAAGAUUAGUCAUAAUACUUUGUUUGUCAUAAAAAGCACUUAAAAUUUAUAUAAACUAUUUAUAUAUAUAUAUAUAAAU